GUGCUUGUUUUGGCAGCACAUACACUAAAAUUGCAAUAAUACAGAGAAGUUUAACAUGGUCCCUACACAAGAAUGACACACAAAUUCGUGGAGCAUUGAUCCAUAUUUUU
This is a small nuclear RNA of Bison bison bison, 110 nucleotides long. Lineage: Eukaryota; Metazoa; Chordata; Mammalia; Artiodactyla; Bovidae. The record is from Ensembl.